This 497-nucleotide ribosomal RNA is filed under the name uncultured bacterium. RNAcentral describes it as "partial 16S ribosomal RNA". It matches the Rfam family "Bacterial small subunit ribosomal RNA", at positions 28 to 507 of the family's 1533-position model. The record is from RNAcentral.
GAUGAACGCUGGCGGCGUGCCUAAUACAUGCAAGUCGAGCGAACAGAUAAGGAGCUUGCUCCUUUGACGUUAGCGGCGGACGGGUGAGUAACACGUGGGUAACCUACCUAUAAGACUGGGAUAACUUCGGGAAACCGGAGCUAAUACCGGAUAACAUUUGGAACCGCAUGGUUCUAAAGUGAAAGAUGGUUUUGCUAUCACUUAUAGAUGGACCCGCGCCGUAUUAGCUAGUUGGUAAGGUAACGGCUUACCAAGGCGACGAUACGUAGCCGACCUGAGAGGGUGACCGGCCACACUGGAACUGAGACACGGUCCAGACUCCUACGGGAGGCAGCAGUAGGGAAUCUUCCGCAAUGGGCGAAAGCCUGACGGAGCAACGCCGCGUGAGUGAUGAAGGGUUUCGGCUCGUAAAACUCUGUUAUUAGGGAAGAACAAACGUGUAAGUAACUGUGCACGUCUUGACGGUACCUAAUCAGAAAGCCACGGCUAACUACGUG